This 2728-nucleotide long non-coding RNA is filed under the name Homo sapiens (human). Its description in RNAcentral is "non-protein coding lnc-PSMG4-16:1". The record is from RNAcentral. Lineage: Eukaryota; Metazoa; Chordata; Mammalia; Primates; Hominidae.
CUCGUGAUCCGCCCACCUUGGCCUCCCAAAGUGCUGGGAUUACAGACGUGAGCCAACGUGCCCGGCCUACUUUUCACCAUGGAAUUGGAAAAGAAACAUUUGGGAAUCAGCUGGAAAAAUGACAACUAGCCCAAUGGGGAAAACCCACAGGGACUCAGCAGGUUUGUUCAUGCUUCCUGUUUAUGUGAAGGAGUCCCAGAUCACCUCCAAAAGAAAUCUGUUUUUAAAAAGGAAGGGGAUCCAGUGGGGUAUUCUCUGCCAGCCUCCAAAGUUAUGGAGAUGUGGUCAAUGCCGAUACAAUAUAAGCUUAGAAUCACAGGGGCAGGAGAACAAGAUCAUUCUUAGUCAAUUAAAAACGUAUUCUCUAGAUUACUAAUCUUUGCUGGAUUCCAUGGAAGAAAACAAUAAGAAUGUGAAGUUUAAAAAAACAAAAUAUAUCAUUCCAUUGUCCCCUGGCUUGCUAGUUUCUGAUAAGCAGCCCCUUGCCUGAGACUUUGUUCCUCUGUUUAAUUUUUUUUUUUAUCCCCCUCUCUGUCUCUUUUUAACGAUACUCUUCUUGUCACUGGUUUUCAGAAACUGGAUUACAAAGUGCCCUGGGCAGAGCAACUGUAAGGCCUAAAUAAACCAGGUAAACGUGGCAAGACAGAAUUCUGCAAUAUAUUAGCCGAGUUUCUCCCCAUAUGCACGCUCCUUCCCAACCACAAUUUCUAUCACCUUUGCCCUCUGUUCUCUCAAAGUGUGUGUGGCCUUCCGGUAUACCAAGAAUGAGGAAGACAGGGGCUCCAGGGAACAGAGCAUCCCAAAGCAGACAGAAGCACAGGCCACCUCUGGCAGAGGCAUGUGGGGAAUGUGUUUGGUCAUGUAGGUAGACAAUAAUAUUCAGAAAGGUUUUAUAAUUCUGUUGAAGGAUUAAGGAAGAAUUAACAACAAACCAAGCAAACAAAAAUGAUUAGCUCCCUGCUUUCAAUCCUCCCUGCGACUGGCUACUUUUAGGAUCCUGCUGAUUGGUGCGUUUUACAGAGCGCUGAUUGGUGCAUUUAGUAGAGUGCUGAUUGGUGCGUUUUUACAGAGCACUGAUUGGUGCAUUUUACAAUCCCCUGCUUGCUACAGAGAGUUCAAUGGCAUAGGAGUAAGGGCAUGGUGUCUGCUAUUAAGUUUUAAAUAGUUCAAAAAAUAGUAGCAGAACUGUGAGCCAAGUAAACCUUUUUAUAAAUUACCCAGCCUCUGGUAUUCCUUUAUAGCAACGCAACAAUGAAUGAAGAAGGCAGGCUCUGAGACCUGCUCGGUGGCAAAGAGGCAGAAAGAAAGUGCUGGUGGGGUGAAGGUGAGGAUGAGAGCCACUCCUGCCAAGCAGAUCGCUGGGCGAGGGGCCUGCCGCGGGGACUCAGAGGAUGGGGAGGCAGAAUGGUAGCAUGUGUUUCGGUAGUGGUGGUAAUUACAAUACUCACAUCAGAGGGCUGUUGUGAACAUUAAGUGAGAUAAUUCAUGCCAGGUGUUUGGAAGAGUAGCUGGCCCAGAAAAAAGGCAUAUUGUGUUAUUAUAGAUGCACGUACACACACACAGAAUUUUACAGACCACUUUAAUUAUUUAGUUACUGUAAAUAAUUAUUUAUUAUAAUUAAUACACUAUUAGAUAAUAUAUUAUACAAAAUAUAUAAAAUGUAUUACAUUAAUAUAUUAUAUGUAAUUAUAAUUGUAUGUAUGAUAACUACCAUGCUCGGGCUGGUCUCAAAUUCCUGGACAUUUAUUAUGAAAUACACAUCCAAUAUUAUUAACCUUUAUAUAUUAUGUAUUAAGUUAACAGACAAGUAUUUUAAAUUUGUCAAAUUGAAUAUUACCAUGUAUCAAUAUGCGCUGUGUGCACAGGGACCUGGAGUGGAGAGAAGGGUGCAGAGGAAGCUCAGGAUGCCGUUGGCCGGGACUUAGCGGAGUUGGAGCUGCGUUCUGUAGAGGAGGCAGGGAUGACAGAGGAGGCCCCGUCCUAGUGGAGGUCUCAAUCCACAAGGAGGCAGGCAUUGCAGGGGUCUCACCCUGGGAUGAGCAUUACAGAAGGCAAGUGAGGGCCCCCCAGCACAAGGCAAGGUGGGGCCGUGGCCUGAGGCAAGAGAGGAGUCCCAUCCAAGGGAAGGUCAGGGGGAAGGCAGUGUUCACUGGGCGAACUGGACAAUGACCUCAGCUUGGACCUGGGUAGCAGAGAGCACAGCAAGAAGCUGGGGCUGCAGACCAGAGGGCUGGGUGUCGGCCUCUCGCUGGUGAUGAGACAGGCGGCUUCUGCGAAGGGCCAGGGAUGAUGGAGGGGAAUUGGAUCCUGGAGCAGGAAAGUAGGGCAUGGUUAGGGGCUGAUGGAGACCUGGCAGUGGCACAAUCUCGGCUUAAUGCAACCUCCACCUUCCGGGUACAAGCGAUUCUCCUGCCUCAGCCUCCCAAGUAGCUGGGACUACAGGCGCACACAUCACGCACGCCCAGCUAAUUUUUGUAUUUUUAGUAGAGAUGGGGUUUUACCAUGUGGGCCAGGAUGGUCUCGAUCUCCCGACCUCAUGAUCCUCCCAUUUUGGCCUCCCAAAGCUCUGGGAUUACAGGUGUGAGCUACUGUGCCCGGCCCACUUAGUUAUUUUAAGAUAGGGUCUUGCUCUGUUGUCCGAGCUGGAGUGCAAUGGUGCUAUCAUAGCUCACUGCAACCUCGACCUUCUAGGCUCAAGUGAUCCUCCUGCCUCAGCCUCCUGAGUAGC